AGACCAUUUGAAUUUUCGUCCCUGAAGUUACUAAUCCUUCCAAUAUGCCCCUGCAAAUAUUAAUCAUUUGACUUUUGAUCAUAAUUACAUCUGAUUAGUAACUUCAGUGAUGAAAAUUCAAGUGACCUAUAUUUGGAGGGAUGAAAGACCUAUUUAAGCAAACCACCUAGCCCAAUCAUCACUUGCCACAUGGGCACCACGUCGCUAAUGACAACCCACCUCACCAAAAAAACCUAAUUAGGAGCAAAAGUCAAAUGAUUAAUAUUUACGGGGGCAGAUUGAAAGGAUUAGUAACUUCAGGGACUAAAAUUCAAAUGACCUA
This 322-nucleotide microRNA precursor is filed under the name Medicago truncatula (barrel medic). Its description in RNAcentral is "miR2632c stem-loop (mtr-MIR2632c)". The record is from miRBase by way of RNAcentral. Lineage: Eukaryota; Viridiplantae; Streptophyta; Magnoliopsida; Fabales; Fabaceae.